UAUUAGAAAUAUAGUUUUAAAAAAAAAUUAACGAUAUAUAAGUUAUACUUGUAUUAACAUAAGUAUAUAAAGAAACUAUUAUGGAAUUUAAGCUAUGUAUUAAAGAGAAUUAUUUAUACAAAUAGAGAUUUAAUAUCCUAUAAGUAUAUAAACUCUAAGAGAAAUCUAAUACUAAACGAAGUGAAUUGAAAUAUCUUAGUAACUUCAGGAAAAGAAAUCAAAAGAGAUUCUAUGAAUAGCGUGAGCGAAAGUAGAGUAGCCUAUAAAGUAGAACGGUACUGAAACUGUUUAAACAUAAUGGGGAACCUUCCUCAAAGGCUAAAUAUAAUACAUAAGCGAUAGUGAAAAGUACCAUGAGGGAACAAAAACAAAAAUAGUAGUUUUAUAAGCAGUUCGAAGCGCAAGCUAUAGAACGUACCUUUUGCAUAAUGGGUCACCAAGUUAACAUUAGAUGCGAGUUCACGCGUAGUUAAACCGAACGUUAAAAUAACGAAAUAGUGUCUAAAGUUAGACCCGAAGCACGGUGAUUUUACCAUGGUCAGGAUUAUAAAAGUCCGAACGGGUGAUUGUAGCAAAAAUCUCCGAAGAACUGUGGUAGGUGUAGUGAAAGACAACACUGACUGUGAUAGCUGGUUUUCUGCGAAACCUAUAAUAGUAGGCAAUUUAAGUGAAUAUCUUAGCAGGUACAGAAUUUAAUCUCAGACAAGACGCGUAUGCGUUUUAUAUUGUACAAAUUGGGGGAUCGUAAAGAUUUUAUCAGUGAGUAUGUAGACUCGGAAUGGCAAAGAUAUGUCUUAAAUUAUCAGACAUAGAAUGAUAAGGUUGUAUGUCGAAAGGGAAACAGCCCAGAACAAGAGUUAAGGUUCCUAAAUUAUUAGUUGAGUGAAAUUAAGAAGGUUUUUAUUAAAGUCGACAAGGAGAUAGGCUUAGAAGCAGCCAUAAUUUUAUGACCUCGUAACAGAGCGCUUGUUAAGUUAUAAAAGCAUCGAAAAUUUAACGGAUCUAAACAAUAUACCGAAACCUUGUCCAUAAUACAUUGUAUUAAUAAGCUUUAAUAUAAUUAAAUGGGGUAGCAGAACGUUGAGCUAGAUUACGAUUUCUAUUUUUUAAAUAGAAUGAUAAUAAUUUAACUCAAGUGAGAAUGGUGACAUGAGUAACUAAAAGAAAAUUUUCCGCCUUAAGCUUAUGGAUAUAAUUAAGUAACGGCCUCUAAGUUUAUAUUAUCUAAAGAUUUAAACGAUGAGAAAAUCUUUUUUACUAAGGACAACAUUUUAGUGUAAAAUGUGCUGGAAAAAUAGUAAAUAUAUUUAUAAGCGCAAGCUUAUAAACGAAGAAUAACCGUACCUAGAAUCUGAAACAAGUAAGCUAGUAGAGAAUACGAAGGCGUAAAUGAGCUAACAAUCAUAAAGGAACUCGGCAAAUUGACUACCGUAACUUCGGAAUAAGGAGGGCUCAUUAUUCCUGAUUAAUAUCAGGUAAAGAGGAAGAAGCAUGAAAUAAUGUUGUACGACUGUUUAAUUAAAACACAGCACUUUGCUGAAAGAUUAAAAAUCUAAGUAUAAAGUGUGAUAUCUGCCCGGUGCCGGCUGGUUAACAGAGAUAAUUGAAUAUACUACUAUUUGAUGUCGACGGAAACCCCGGUUAAAGGCGGCCUUAACGUGAGGGUCCUAAGGUAGCGAAAUGCCUUGGCCGUUAAAUGCGGUCUUGCAUGAAUGGUGUAACGAUACAACAGCUGUCUCUAUGAUUGACUCAGUGAAAUUGGAAUAGCUGUGCAGAUACAGCUUACCUCUAGUUAGACGAGAAGACCCUAUGCAGCUUUACUGUCACUAAUUAUAGAGUAUGAUAGACAAUUUUCAGAUUAUAAGGUAAUUGACGAUAUGGCAAUGAGAAUCCUUUAUUUUUCUUUCAUAUGAAUGAAUUGGUUUAGGAUUAUGAGUAAAUUAUAAUUGAUGUGGCUUUACUGAGCUAUUUUUAUACAUUAAUUAUAAUUUUUAAAUUAUUAUAUAGCUCAUUUUAGUAGACCAGCCUAAUUCAACUUAUUAUUUAAUAAUAGUAAGUACCCUUUGGCAAGGAACUAUCGCUAGGGGACAGUUUAUGUGGGGCACAGACCCUGUAAAGAGUAAACAGGAGUGUCUAAAAAUUUAUAAUUAUUUUGUUUGCUAUUUUAAGUAGUUUAACUAUUUUUAAUCAUAUACAAUUAUUUAUAUUUGCAUUGUUGUAAAUAUAUUUAAGUUUAGGUAGGAUUUUCACUAUAUAGAAAUUAGAGAUAAUUGAGAAUAUUAUGAAGUUUUCUAAUAUUUUCUAGCUAUUAUUGCUUAGGCAUUAAUAGUUAUGUAUUUAAUAUCUAAAAAGCUCAACGGCUUAAUCCUGCCUUACUGUUUGAUUAUCUACAAAUCUUACAGUUGCGUAAGCAGGGCAUAGGAUCACAAGAUGCAAUAAGGAAAGAUCUUGGAUUAUUGGAAAAGCUACGCUAGGGAUGAACAGGCUAAUUUGCGCAAGAGUGUACAAAAUGAGUGCGCGGUUUGGCACCUCGAUGUCGGCUUAACUUAUCCUCAUGGACGCAGGAACUAUGUAGGGUGCGACUGUUCGUCGAUUAAAAAGUUACAUGAGCUGGGUUAAAUACGUCGUGAGACAGUAUGGUUUCUAUCUUCUAGGGGGAAUUAGAAUAAAAUAAGAACGAACUUUUGUACGCAAGGAACAAGAAGAAUUUGACCCGUAAAAAGGUUAAAUUAUGGUUACUAACCUCUGGUUUACCUGUUGUUUAUGUGCCCAAUAUUAAAUAUAUAUACUAAGUAUAUAUAUAUGUAUUUUUAUACAUGGGAUGUUUCUUUCACUAAGAUAAAUGUAUAGCAUAAGCACGGCAGGAACGCUAAGUUGGUUAAGGAUAAGUGCUGAAAGCAUAUAGGCACGAAGCUUAUCUUAAGAUAUUUCUUAAAUAUACGUAAUAUAAUAUUACGAAACUAUAGGCUUUAUCCGUACGAAUCUAGAGAUUUUCAAGAAUAAAGUACUAAUUUAAUAAUUUACUAUGUAUAAAUAUAUCGA
Molecule: ribosomal RNA, 3042 nt
Filed under: Purpureocillium lilacinum
Lineage: Eukaryota; Fungi; Ascomycota; Sordariomycetes; Hypocreales; Ophiocordycipitaceae
Description: large subunit ribosomal RNA
Rfam family: Bacterial large subunit ribosomal RNA
Source: RNAcentral